Molecule: long non-coding RNA, 685 nt
Filed under: Sarcophilus harrisii (Tasmanian devil)
Lineage: Eukaryota; Metazoa; Chordata; Mammalia; Dasyuromorphia; Dasyuridae
Description: lncRNA (ENSSHAG00000021729.1)
Source: RNAcentral
GGAAUUGAGAAGGGACUUUCCAGAGAACAUUAGCGUGCAGAGUGUGGAAAGGGAAUAAAAGCAUAUGCAAAUGGGGUUUUUAGUCUCUUCCUUUCUAAUCAUAGACGUUGCUGGAGAGCUUGAGUGUUCCUCUUGAAGACAGGGGAUGGAUGUUCCCCCUGACACUGCAUGCCAUCUCCUUUCUGACAGCAGGGCCUAGAUUGAAGGAGUGACAUAUGGAAAAUAAAAUCAUGCAAAAGGGUUGACUGAAGAGGAGGAAGGAAACAUGAGGAGGAAGAAAAAAAAACCCAUGGAAUUGGAAAAGAUAAAGUAAAAUGAAUUUUUAGGAUGCCACCGUGGCCAUCUUUCCAUCUUUUGAUCCUCUGACAAAGUCUUCUGGAUCUGAAAAUCAUCUGUAUCUUCAAAGGACCACCUCCUUGGAAUCUCUCAACAAGCCCUGGCUUUCAUAUAUGUAGAAAAUCUACUCACCAAAUACAUUGGAAAAGCAAUAUUGACUCUGUGUCUAUGGCUUCUGCUUUGAAAUAUUACCUUUCUGGGAAGUAUCCUAUCAAAAAUUAUGGGAGAUCAGGGCAGCUAGAUGGUAUAGUAGAUAUGCUGCUGAAUCUGGAGUCAGCAAACACAUGGGAAAAGCACCAGACUUUGAAGCGAGAAGAAGGGAGGCAGAAUUUAGAGAACCUGUAUCUUC